This 515-nucleotide ribosomal RNA is filed under the name uncultured bacterium. RNAcentral's name for it is "bacterial SSU rRNA". It matches the Rfam family "Bacterial small subunit ribosomal RNA", at positions 25 to 518 of the family's 1533-position model. The record is from RNAcentral.
CAGAACGAACGCUGGCGGCGUGCUUAACACAUGCAAGUCGAACGCGAAAGGGACUUCGGUCCUGAGUAAAGUGGCGGCACGGGUGAGUAACGCGUAGAUAACCUGUCUUCAUGUCUGGAAUAAUACGCCGAAAGGGGUACUAAUACCGGAUAUUCUUGCUUUUCAUAAGUUAUGCAAGCAAAGGUGGCCUCUGCAUAUGCUACUGCAUGAAGAGGGGUCUGCGUACCAUUAGCUAGUAGGUGGGGUAAUGGCCUACCUAGGCGACGAUGGUUAGCGGGUCUGAGAGGAUGAUCCGCCACACUGGCACUGGAACACGGGCCAGACUCCUACGGGAGGCAGCAGUGAGGAAUAUUGCGCAAUGGGGGAAACCCUGACGCAGCGACGCCGCGUGAAGUGAGGAAGGCCUUCGGGUCGUAAAGCUCUGUCAAGAGGAAAGAAGUGUACAAUGGCUAAUACCUGUUGUAUUUGACGGUACCUCUAAAGGAAGCACCGGCUAACUCCGUGCCAGCCGCUGC